GUCAAGAUGGUGCCCAAGGCACUGGAAGUGAUGAAGGGGCUUCGAAGGGCUCAUGCAGGGAAAGAAAGGAGUUUACUUUACAUUAAAAGACAGAUGUUUACCAGCAGCUACUCAAGGGGACAUACAAAGUAUCUUACUGGACAUUAGGAAGGUGUGGAAUAAUAGUAAUAGGAGGAGUUAUAGGGAGAGGUUAUACGGAGUAAUAGGAGGAGUUAUAGAGAGAGGUUAUAUGGAGUAAUAGGAGAAGUUAUAGGGAGAGGUUAUAUGGAGUAAUAGGAGGAGUAAUAGGGAGAGGUUAUAUGGAGUAAUAGGUGGAGUUAUAGGGAGAGGUUAUAUGGAGUAAUAGGAGGAGUUAUAGGGAGAGGUUAUAUGGAGUAAUAGGAGGAGUUAUAGGGAGAGGUUAUAUGGAGUAAUAGGAGGAGU
Molecule: non-coding RNA, 423 nt
Organism: Pelobates cultripes (western spadefoot toad)
Lineage: Eukaryota; Metazoa; Chordata; Amphibia; Anura; Pelobatidae
Source: the annotation of a GenBank genome assembly